RNAcentral lists this ribosomal RNA (445 nucleotides) under uncultured bacterium. Its description in RNAcentral is "partial 16S ribosomal RNA". It matches the Rfam family "Bacterial small subunit ribosomal RNA", at positions 354 to 796 of the family's 1533-position model. The record is from RNAcentral.
GUGAGGAAUAUUGCGCAAUGGAGGCAACUCUGACGCAGCCAUGCCGCGUGCAGGAAGAAGGCGCUACGCGUUGUAAACUGCUUUUAACCGGGAAGAAACCCCAGGACGUGUCCUGGGUUGACGGUACCGGAGGAAUAAGCACCGGCUAACUUCGUGCCAGCAGCCGCGGUAAUACGAAGGGUGCAAGCGUUAUCCGGAUUCAUUGGGUUUAAAGGGUGCGUAGGCGGAGCGUUAAGUCAGUGGUGAAAUCCUGCAGCUUAACUGUAGAAUUGCCAUUGAUACUGGCGCUCUUGAGUGCGCUUGAAGUGGGCGGAAUGUGCCGUGUAGCGGUGAAAUGCUUAGAUAUGGCACAGAACACCAAUUGCGAAGGCAGCUCACUAAGGCGAUACUGACGCUGAGGCACGAAAGCGUGGGGAUCGAACAGGAUUAGAAACCCUGGUAGUCC